AAUGAACGCUGGCGGUAGGCCUAACACAUGCAAGUCGAACGUGUGGCGGACGGGUGAGGAAUUCAUCGGCCUCUACUCUGUCGUGGGGGCUAACGUUGGGAAACUUACGCUAAUUCAGCAUACUGUUGACUGAGCCGAUGGCGGCUUGGCUGGUUGGCGGGGUAAAGGCCAACGACGGCGACGGUCCGCAGCUGGUCGGAGGGGAUGGUAAGGCAAACUGGAACUGAGAAACGGUCCAGACUCCUACGGGAGGCAGAGGUGGGGAAUAUUGGGCAAUGGGACAAAGCCGGAUACAGCGAUACCGCGUGGGUGAAGAAGGGCUGAGGGUUGUAAAGCCCUUUUGUUGGGAAAGCGGUAACCAAAGAAGAAGCACCGGCUAACUUCGUGCCAGCCGCCGCGGUAAUUC
RNAcentral lists this ribosomal RNA (406 nucleotides) under uncultured bacterium. Its description in RNAcentral is "partial 16S ribosomal RNA". It matches the Rfam family "Bacterial small subunit ribosomal RNA", at positions 29 to 526 of the family's 1533-position model. The record is from RNAcentral.